UNGGUGUACUUGGACUCUAGACAUUAGU
RNAcentral lists this non-coding RNA (28 nucleotides) under Mus musculus (house mouse). Lineage: Eukaryota; Metazoa; Chordata; Mammalia; Rodentia; Muridae. The record is from RNAcentral.